UGUCCUUAGUCUAGGUUAGACUAGUAUUGCCUUAGACUUAUGACCCGUGUGGGCUGGAUAACCUUGACUUUCUGCCGACGUCGUUCGGAUGACUUAGCUCCUUGUAGACUGGAAUAGCAGACUUGAGUCUGAUAGUUUGAGCCUUAGAUUAGGCGUUAUCGCUACUUGCUGCACUUCUGUAUCUUCUCCCUCUAGUCCCAACUCGUUCUCGAAGGUUUGGUGCAUCACUAAAGGUGUGUGAUUGAGAUAGUAUAGCCUUGGAGCCUUUUCUAUGAUUUCUUAGAGUGGACGGCGUUCCACGGUGGUUGUUGUGGGAUUGGAUCCUAUUGGAGAUACCAUCACCCCCGG
Molecule: long non-coding RNA, 348 nt
Filed under: Solanum tuberosum (potato)
Lineage: Eukaryota; Viridiplantae; Streptophyta; Magnoliopsida; Solanales; Solanaceae
Description: long non-coding RNA (STUB_LNC011410)
Source: RNAcentral